UGGGGAAUAUUGGACAAUGGGCGAAAGCCUGAUCCAGCCAUGCCGCGUGAGUGAUGAAGGCCUUAGGGUUGUAAAGCUCUUUUAGCAGGGAAGAUAAUGACGGUACCUGCAGAAAAAGCCCCGGCUAACUUCGUGCCAGCAGCCGCGGUAAUACGAAGGGGGCUAGCGUUGCUCGGAAUCACUGGGCGUAAAGCGCACGUAGGCGGACUCUUAAGUCGGUGGUGAAAUCCUGGAGCUCAACUCCAGAACUGCCUUCGAUACUGGGAGUCUUGAGUUCGGGAGAGGUGAGUGGAACCGCGAGUGUAGAGGUGAAAUUCGUAGAUAUUCGCAAGAACACCAGUGGCGAAGGCGGCUCACUGGCCUGAUACUGACGCUGAGGUGCGAAAGCGUGGGGAGCAAACA
Molecule: ribosomal RNA, 402 nt
Filed under: uncultured bacterium
Lineage: Bacteria
Description: bacterial SSU rRNA
Rfam family: Bacterial small subunit ribosomal RNA
Source: RNAcentral